UGUGUAACAGCCUGCAAUGGUGUGUUACAGCAUGCAACGUUGUGUCAGCAUGUAAAUGUGUGUAAGAAUGUGCAAUAGUGUGUAAGCAUGUAAACAUAUGACAGCAUGUAACAGUGUGUAAUAGCCUGUAAAUGCGUGUAAUGUUGUGUGUAACAGCGUGCAAUGAUGUGUAAGCAUGUGUAACAGCAUGUAAACAUGUAGAGCGUGGAACAUUGCGUAAGCACGUGUAAGCAUGUGUAAACACAUGUAACGGUGUGUAAGUGCAGAAAUGUAACAGCAUGUAAACGCAUGUAACUGUGUAAAUGUGUGUAACAAAAUGUAAAUGCAUGUAAACACGUGUAACAGCAUGUAUAACGUGUGGAGCAGCGUGUAAACGUGUGUAACGAGGAAACAGCACUCUCUCCCGCUCACCUCACAAAAGGACACCACUGUGCACUAAGAACGGCCUUUAUUUGCUUGAAAAAGAAUUUGCUUUUUUUGUUAGUGGGUGCACUCAGGUUACGAGUAUCUCAGCUCGUGCUCGUUGUUACCUUACAACAGCAGACUGUCUUGACCAGCUCUUUUUCUAAUUACCUUCCGGCCCGAGAACCGCCCUCAAGAACUCAAAGUAUUGGUGAACAGACAAUCUGGUUUCAUAUAGCAACUGCCAGCAUAAAAUAAUCCCAUACAAGGGGCAGUGGUAGGGUUUUGCUCAGCUUACCUUCCAGCAGUCCUGUAUGUAACAAACAGCACAGGCAAGGCACAGCCCUGCCCAAGCACCGAGCAGCUUCAGUCAGGGCUCUGGAAAGCUGCUGGGCAGCUGCAUGCAGAACAGCGCUAUUUGCUUAGGAGAGAAGCUGCGAACCGAUCCUUGGCUGUAAUAUCAGCCCGAGCAGUAAGUGGUGCAGUCCCUUAGGAACUUGGGCCACCAGCUGUGACAGCAGGCUCAGAGAGGCCACUCUUCAUACCCCACAUUAGCUACUGAGGCCACUACCACCACCACGGGAGCUCCCAGCAGUGGGGCAGGUGCCUCGUGCAACAGCUGGACGCUAAGAUUACUUUAUGCUGGAAGUACAGGAAAAGAGAUGACAAAAAUUUUACAAAGAUCGACAAUCAACAAGGCUAUCUGGAGCAAGUAGUAUGGACUGAAGUGUCACACCAAGUUACCACACAAGCCACGGCCUCGUCGCAUCGGAGGCUUUUUACAAUUUAAUUUGCAAACAGAACUGCCAUAAAUCUCAUUUACCAAACCGUGUCUACUCAAACGCAGAUAGAAAACCCAAGGAGGUAAAAUGAAUUUAAUUGUGGAAGGCCUUAAAUUACAUUAUUACAGUAGAAAAUACAGGAGGUAGAAUAUAACUGAAAGGACAAAUGCAGGUUAGAGUCAAAUCUAUAGCUCCUGUAGACUACCUACUUACUUAAAACAUGGUUUUAAAAACUAAACCCGGUAUUUCAUUACCUAUAGAAAACAGUUAAAAUAAAUUUGCCAUGAGAGCCCUUAUAUCAUGCUUGAUACAGGGAGGUAGGAUGUAAGAAUCAGGACACAUGAGACAUGACACUUAUCUACAGCUUCUGUUUGCUUUACUGAGGACAGUUCCAGAGGUCAGUCACCCUCCUCUGCUUCAGACUCCGACUCUUCCUCAGCAUUCUUGAGCCAUUCAACAAACUUCUUCAUUUGCUCCAGGAAGACGCUCUUUCCUUUCGCAAGAUGUGCAUCUUUAUACCACUUCAGGAUGGGUUCUUCGCUCAGAACUUCAGCUUUAUAGAAGAGCACCACUAUUUUCUGGAAGGCCUUCAUGAAGUGAAUGUUAUCAUAACAAUACUCCUGAAUCUUCAACAGAAGAGUCAGCUCUGACUGACCUUGGGUAGUAAAGGCAGCAAGUAGAGGGCUGUAUUGCUUCAAGUGCUUAAUGGCUUGCUCUGCUACCAGCUCCUCCUUUUUGUUCCACUCCACAGUGCUCAUCACACUUGACCAGAUUAUGGCUAUCACAGUCUGUUCUGAGAUGUUGUUCUUCUUCAUCUCCUCCUUUACAUACAAGAUUAUAUCCUUAAAGGGAUCUCCCCGUGACAUCUGCUCCUGAAGUUCUUUCUGCAGCUCCUUUCGAGCUCCUAUAGUUUGCUGGUUCCGAACAUACUCAGAAAGUUCUUUCAGUCCUGCUUCAGUGAAGUACUUGGAGAAGUGUUCUACGCUUUGUUUGUUGGCUGGGAAGAGUUCCAUUAGCCUGUUAUCCAUGUUUACUUUACGAAGACUGACAGCCACUGCAUUAAUGUCUUUCUCAUUUAUCCACGAUUUGAAGAGCUUGACUGCAAAAGCUGCAGAAACACCUUCUUUUACUAAGUUCUCAUUAUAAAGACUGUUGAGAAUUGAUGCAUUAAGCGUCCCAUUGGCUAGCAGAAUACCCGUCAACAUGGCCAGUUUGUUCCUCUCAGACUCUGAGAACCCUUUCAGGAACAGCAGCAACUUUUUGACUUCAUCCUCAAAGCCUUUCUCCAGGUACUUGUAACGCCUGAUGAGCUUGUUAAAAACCUGAGCAAAUGCUUGCAUGGUUUCUAGGUCUUCCUGUGCUGCAAACACACAGACAUCUGUGCGUGUCAUGUCAUCUGCCAGGGUACCACCUGGGGCCAGCAUUCCACCAGCCACCAGGAUGUCAAAAAGUGUUUCUGCAUAGCGGCGAUAGUCAAGUUUUGCACCAGAAGCAUCGAGAAACUUUGCUACCGCCUCCAAGUCAGUGCCAGUUUCAGUUAAACCUUGAAUAAUGCAGUCCUGGAACUGGGUGGGGUCAAACCUCUCUUUUUCAUCUCUCUUUCUGGUCUUGAAGCGCUGCCCCGAUAGCGUCGGCUUCUGCUGCUUUUGAUUCAUAAAAGACGCCCGACUUUAAAGUAGAGAGAAAUCGCCCGAGGGCCCGGAGCGGAGACGAACGCGAACGGCGAAAAGGAGA
Molecule: long non-coding RNA, 2918 nt
Filed under: Gallus gallus (chicken)
Lineage: Eukaryota; Metazoa; Chordata; Aves; Galliformes; Phasianidae
Source: RNAcentral